CAGUCGCCACGGUAAUACGUAGGGUGCAAGCGUUAAUCGGAAUUACUGGGCGUAAAGCGUGCGCAGGCGGUUUUGUAAGACAGAGGUGAAAUCCCCGGGCUCAACCUGGGAACUGCCUUUGUGACUGCAAGGCUAGAGUACGGCAGAGAGGGAUGGAAUUCCGCGUGUAGCAGUGAAAUGCGUAGAUAUGCGGAGGAACACCGAUGGCGAAGGCAAUCCCCUGGGCCUGUACUGACGCUCAUGCACGAAAGCGUGGGGAGCAAACAGGAUUAGAUACCCCUGUAGUCCCUGUCUCUUAUAC
RNAcentral lists this ribosomal RNA (301 nucleotides) under uncultured bacterium. Its description in RNAcentral is "partial 16S ribosomal RNA". It matches the Rfam family "Bacterial small subunit ribosomal RNA", at positions 509 to 807 of the family's 1533-position model. The record is from RNAcentral.